Non-coding RNA from Naegleria gruberi, 75 nucleotides. The record is from the annotation of a RefSeq genome assembly. Lineage: Eukaryota; Heterolobosea; Eutetramitea; Acrasida; Naegleriidae.
GUGUGAAUAGUUUAAUUGGGAGAACGUAGGCACUGUUUAGAAUCUAAGGUGGUAGAUCGAAGCUACCUUCACACU